UACGUAGGGUGCAAGCGUUGUUCGGAAUUACUGGGCGUAAAGGGCGCGUAGGCGGCCUGCUAAGUCGGAUGUGAAAUCCCUCGGCUCAACCGAGGAACUGCAUCCGAUACUGGCGGGCUUGAAUCCGGGAGAGGGAUGUGGAAUUCCAGGUGUAGCGGUGAAAUGCGUAGAUAUCUGGAGGAACACCGGUGGCGAAGGCGGCAUCCUGGACCGGUAUUGACGCUGAGGCGCGAAAGCUAGGGGAGCAAACGGG
RNAcentral lists this ribosomal RNA (253 nucleotides) under uncultured bacterium. RNAcentral describes it as "partial 16S ribosomal RNA". It matches the Rfam family "Bacterial small subunit ribosomal RNA", at positions 524 to 776 of the family's 1533-position model. The record is from RNAcentral.